UNGUAUUCAUUCCUCCCUCAGCAGAAGC
Molecule: non-coding RNA, 28 nt
Filed under: Homo sapiens (human)
Lineage: Eukaryota; Metazoa; Chordata; Mammalia; Primates; Hominidae
Source: RNAcentral